GCUCCGAGGUGUUAACAUAUCAGAUUGCAAAUCCGAAGUCGCAGAUUAACGUCUGCCGGGGCUU
Molecule: transfer RNA, 64 nt
Filed under: Thorichthys aureus
Lineage: Eukaryota; Metazoa; Chordata; Actinopteri; Cichliformes; Cichlidae
Description: tRNA-Cys
Source: RNAcentral